This 233-nucleotide unclassified non-coding RNA is filed under the name Dothideomycetes sp. RNAcentral's name for it is "partial contains 5.8S ribosomal RNA, internal transcribed spacer 2, and large subunit ribosomal RNA". Lineage: Eukaryota; Fungi; Ascomycota; Dothideomycetes. The record is from RNAcentral.
CGCACAUUGCGCCCCUCGGUACUCCGGGGGGCAUGCCUGUCCGAGCGUCAUUGAAGACUAUCAAGCCUGGCUUGGUCUUGGGCGAGGUCUAGGGACCCGCCCGCAACCCGUCGGCGGUGCCGGUUCGGCCCUGAGCGUAGUAAAAAACUCGCUCGAGAGCUGCAGCGGUGCCCGCCAGCAGAUUCUACCCAUAGAUUGACCUCGGAUCAGGUAGGGAUACCCGCUGAACUUAA